This 651-nucleotide ribosomal RNA is filed under the name uncultured bacterium. RNAcentral describes it as "bacterial SSU rRNA". It matches the Rfam family "Bacterial small subunit ribosomal RNA", at positions 56 to 748 of the family's 1533-position model. The record is from RNAcentral.
UGCAAGUCGCACGGGGUGGUUUCGGCCAUCAGUGGCGGACGGGUGAGUAACGCCUAUGAACGUGUCCAGAGGUGGGGGACAACCCCGGGAAACUGGGGCUAAUACCGCAUGGGGGCUGAGGCCCAAAGCCGAGAGGCGCCAUUGGAGCGGCCUGCGUCCGAUUAGGUAGUUGGUGGGGUAAAGGCCUACCAAGCCUGCGAUCGGUAGCUGGUCUGAGAGGACGACCAGCCACACUGGGACUGAGACACGGCCCAGACUCCUACGGGAGGCAGCAGUGGGGAAUAUUGGACAAUGGGCGAAAGCCUGAUCCAGCAAUGCCGCGUGGGUGAAGAAGGUCUUCGGAUCGUAAAGCCCUUUCGACGGGGACGAUGAUGACGGUACCCGUAGAAGAAGCUCCGGCUAACUUCUUGCCAGCAGCCGCGGUAAUACGAAGGGGGCUAGCGUUGCUCGGAAUUACUGGGCGUAAAGGGCACGUAGGCGGCGGCCCAAGUCAGGCGUGAAAUUCCUGGGCUCAACCUGGGGACUGCGCUUGAUACUGGGUUGCUUGAGGAUGGAAGAAGCUCCUGGAAUUCCCAGUGUAGAGGUGAAAUUCGUAGAUAUUGGGAAGAACACCUGUGGCGAAAGCGGCGAGCUGGUCCAUUACUGACGCUG